CUUAUUUCACUGCUGCUGUCACUUUCAUACUCUCGGACUGACAUUUCGACGGUCAGGGCUAAAGAAAAUUUUUGUCUGCACGAAGUCAAGGACUGCAAUAGACGGCUUAUUCGUAAUAGGAACACCGGCCACGAAUCCAUAAUGAAAACAAAACAGACUUGGCGCGUAACGUGUCGAAUGAAUGAAUGCCUAUGGGCGUGUCGUUCUAAACGUAAACUCUCUUCUACUGCGAUAAGAGACAUUGGCCCUACAAUACCAGCGCUUCUAAGUGGCGCGCGUGGCUUGACGGGGACUGCCUUCAAAAUCGGCAUGGCGCUCAACGGGUUAAAUUUGAAGCAUUCCUCCCGUGUGUGUUCUAUCCUUUUACAAUAUGUACAUUCCUUAGGGGGAGAGGACGUGUGUACGACACGUGUGGAUUUAUUUCUAUUGUUUCGAAAACGUGAUUCGUUAUAUCGUUCCUGAGAGGCGAGAGAUCUCUCCUACGUUCUUUCUCAUAUUCCAUCUUAGCGUAUAACUCUAAUGCCUGGUCGUAUGCGUCUGAGAGGUUUCUACAAAAACGCGGUAUUAUCAAACGAUGUUAUUAUUAUAUACUAUAUUACUUUGUAAGGUGAGAUCGUCGAUUUCGCAUUGUUUGUCUUCGGUUAAUCCCUGUCUACUGCGUAUCUCAUAUAUCAAGGCUUGGUACAAAUCUUUAACUCGUCCUAUGUAGUCUAUCAUUGAUUCGUUAUUACGCAUGAGAAUGUUUCGUAAUUCUGACCUAUAAUGUUCAUGCGUAGGAUAGGUUCCGAAGAUCUGACGUAAUCUAUUACACAGAAAGUUUAUUACACGGAAAAUUUCUAUAUCACAGUCCACGAUAGUUGUGUAUGCUACGCCUUUUGAGUUAUUGAUCAUAAGUUUACCAUUGGUGGCUGUGAUUACGGAAGUCGAGGGCAUCAUUUCUCGUGCUCUCCUACAAGCACGUAUGAAUGUGUUUACAGUCAUAUUCUUUCCGUCGAAUCGUGGCACGAUAUUCAUAGUCUCACGUAUAGAGUAAUUAUCGGUUAAUUCGCGAGACUCGUUCGUAUGUUUCUGUAUGAAGUGAAUCUCUUGUAAGAUUGUCGUUAACGCGUCCAUUUCAGGUUUUGGUACGUUUUCUUAUGCUCUACUGAAUGCUUCUUCACGUUCCGCAAGCAAAAUAAUGUUUGAAAUAGUAUAGGUGCCAGAAGUAGGCCCAGAGGAAAUGAAUAAUGAAUUUAGUACUAGUGGAAAUCCAAGUGAAUAUGGUACUUGAGAAAGGCGCCAGGAUGAUUCCAUGAAAAGAACACAUUACGAAUUAGAUAGGCGAACUGACGAAUUGGUCAUCAAAGUGUGAACGAAGAAGAGAGCGAUGAAGUUAACGGGAAAUAUAAAAGGCAAAGAAGAGAAAGCUGUUACAAUUCAAAAAUUACAAAAAGGAAAGAAAAAAAGCAGUGGAAUUUGUUAAGUGUGUAAAUUCGUAAUAUGUAAGUUAGGCAUAAAUGGUAAUUAUUAUUGUAAACUGGAUUAUGAAUAUGUGUGAA
Molecule: long non-coding RNA, 1538 nt
Organism: Vespa velutina
Lineage: Eukaryota; Metazoa; Arthropoda; Insecta; Hymenoptera; Vespidae
Exons: 2
Source: RefSeq, a predicted model, not a curated record